UACGUAGGGUGCAAGCGUUGUCCGGAAUUAUUGGGCGUAAAGAGCUCGUAGGCGGUCUGUCGCGUCGGCUGUGAAAACCUGGGGCUUAACUCCGGGCCUGCAGCCGAUACGGGCAGACUAGAGUUCGGCAGGGGAGACUGGAAUUCCUGGUGUAGCGGUGAAAUGCGCAGGUAUCAGGAGGAACACCGGUGGCGAAGGCGGGUCUCUGGGCCGAAACUGACGCUGAGGAGCGAAAGCGUGGGGAGCAAACAGG
RNAcentral lists this ribosomal RNA (253 nucleotides) under uncultured bacterium. RNAcentral describes it as "partial 16S ribosomal RNA". It matches the Rfam family "Bacterial small subunit ribosomal RNA", at positions 524 to 776 of the family's 1533-position model. The record is from RNAcentral.